CCAGCCGAUACUAUGGUUAAGCCGCGAAUGGCUCAUUACAACAGCCACUGUUCACUUGAUCUUGAAUAUCCUACUUGGAUAACUGUGGUAAUUCUAGAGCUAAUACAUGCAACUCAGCUCCGACCCUUUGGGGGACGAGCGCAAUUAUUAGAACAAAACCAAUCGGGCUUCGGUCCGUGGUUUGGUGGAUCUGAAUAACUGAGCUGAUCGCACGGUCUUUGCACCGGCGACGCAUCUUUCAAGUGUCUGCCUUAUCAGCUGUCGAUGGUAGUUUAUGUGACAACCAUGGCUGUAACGGGUAACGGAGAAUAAGGGUUCGACUCCGGAGAGGGAGCCUGAGAAACGGCUACCACAUCCAAGGAAGCAGCAGGC
Molecule: ribosomal RNA, 372 nt
Filed under: Camacolaimus sp. 52L27G15
Lineage: Eukaryota; Metazoa; Nematoda; Chromadorea; Plectida; Leptolaimidae
Description: bacterial SSU rRNA
Rfam family: Eukaryotic small subunit ribosomal RNA
Source: RNAcentral